Myodes glareolus (Bank vole) is the source of this 2715-nucleotide long non-coding RNA. RefSeq lists it as uncharacterized. NCBI's taxonomy places the organism in Eukaryota, Metazoa, Chordata, Mammalia, Rodentia, Cricetidae. The record is from RefSeq and is a predicted model, not a curated record.
AGAAGAUAACUACAGUCCAAAUAUUGUCAAUUUUUAUUAAAUUUCACUUAAAACCAAAGGAUAUUCUGGAUUGGUAGUCUGGUACAGAACUUUACUACAUACUAGGAAAAAUCGCCAAACCCUUGUUUAUCUUUUGAAAAAUCAAUAAAGAGCUUAGAAUUUUAAUAUCUUUAUUGUAUACAGGUGAGGCUAAAUUGACACAUAUGUGUAAAAACUAGUAACUAUGACAACUAAAGUAUAGUGACUUAGCUAAGCAUUGCUUACUUUGUCAAAUACCUCAGCUCUGUGUUUUGGGUCAAUUAGUUCACACAGUUGCUAUUAGUUAUAAAUAAACAUAUGUGACAUAGAUGGUCAGAAAAACAGACAUGAAGAUAUGUGUCUAACAACAUAGGGGUUAAGUGAACAAAUCUGAGCUUCCAUAUUUAUGUGUUCUUAGUACUAUAUUCUUAACAUUUCAUCUUUCUAUACCAACUGAAAUGUUAAGAACUGAUAACUAUACAGACCGUGGGAUAUGACAUGCUUGCCAUCUUCAAUAAAGAAAUGCAUAACACUGAAUUCAAUACACAUAUCAAACUUCAUUUCCCUACAACAUUAUGGAACAGAGAAAUUGGGUAUGAUAUCUGAAUAUAUCUAAAGUACAGGCAAGGCAAAGAGACAUCUUAUACAUUUCUCUCCUCUGCUAACUUUUAAAAAGGAAUGUGCCAAAGAUUCUGCUUUUCAUAAACAUCUUGAAGCUUACUUUCUUCUCUUAUUUAAUAUUUCAAAUUACAAAAGAAGAUAGGAGGAACAAGGGAGUCCAUGAAAGUGAUUUUAAGUGGAUCUUUUCAAGAAUUGCGAGAAACAAAACUGCUUUUGACUGGAGUGUGAUUCCUGAGAAACCCUAAUCUUUGUCGUUGUUUUAGAGAGGACCCAUUGGCAUUCUUUUAUGACUUUUCCUUGAACAGAGAUGUGGGAUUGACCCUUCUUCCCACUGAUUAACAUGCAGACAUUACAUAUUAGUUAAUUUUCCAACAGAAAAGCCCUCACAGGUGUACAGACUCUGUAUUAGAAUGGGAAUAAACUCCCAUCUCAGUCGUCUGGGCAUAGGCAACUGAAGGAAGAGUGUCUAUGCUAUUGAUCACCAAGGGUAUGUGAAAUAUGAUGCACAAGUUCUCCACCAGAAUUCCUGAUGUGUCCUUAUUUCUCUCCUUGUAUCUCCUUUUUUUGUUGUUGCUUUGUGUCUAUUUUAUUUUAUUUUCAGUUCGAAAUGACUAUGAGUCUCCAAUGAGGUUUUGUUUGGGUCUGGUUAAUAUUAAAGAUCACACACGGCUUAAAAAUAUUGUUAUUUUUCUUUAAUGGGGAAAAUUGGACUCCUGCAUGUCAGAUCUGUGGAUUUCCGAAAGGCAGUGGGAAUGGUACUGACAUCACUUUGCACUUUAACAAUCCGAUUUGGUCAGAGUACAAGUUGUUUGUUUAACCCGACCACUCGGUGCACCCCAUCGCACACUUUGCACACUCAUUAAAACGAUUAUUCACGACCUGUCGAGUGUUUUCGGGUUCAUUCACAGGAAAGGCUUGUAUCCAGAGAGCAAUUCGAGUCAACACUGUCCACUACACCACGCACGUGAGGACUAGCUGGUGCAUGCGUGAAAGGCUAGGGGAGGGGUUGGUGAGUGAGUGUCUUGGCUGCAAAAUCCCGUUCAACGCGAGACACCAAGGAAUCUCAACCGCCUUAGAAUGCUUAGAGCUAGCUCUUGGUUCCCCGACACUGCUACUUCACUACCUAGCUUCAAAGACUUCACAAGGAAAAAGAAAAAAGAAACAAAUAAAGCCCGCUUUCUCUCUCCAACUCCAGGCUGCUCCUCUCGGUCAAGAAAUUCCUAUCCGGAGGCUCCUUCCAAAAUAUCCGUGGAGUGGGCAGAAACGGGGAACCAGACAGAAGUGAUAGAGGGCUAUUGUAACAUCAGUUUUACCAACCACCGGUCAUACAGACCACUGGAGAAGUACUUUGACUCUACGCACACUCGUGUUGAACAGUUCAGACUUCCUUGAUUUCCAAUUUGGCAACUAGAUGAAGAAACUCCCUCGCUGCUGCAUUUUAUAUCAUUCCUCUGUUUAUGUGUUAACGAUCGUGCUAACUUUCAAUUAUGUCAAUUAAAGUAAAAUACUCAACGUGUACUAUUAUCAUUUGGCAUUUCUAUUAUUAAAUUGGGAUCAUUUUCUUUUCCAAAAUUAAAAAAAGGGGGCAGCCUCCCUUUCAUUUUAAGCAAUUAUAAGUUUGAAAGAAAAUAAUCUUCAAAAAGUUUUGAAGUGUUGGUCUGGAAUGAACUAACUGUAACCGGUAAAAGUUGGUGACAGUACACAGUAAAACAUUGUAUCCACCAGUCUGAAGCAAAAUUAAAUGUACCAAUGCCAUACCAGAUUGUUAUUUUUCAAAGAGGAUAUCAAGGGGAGAGUAGGCUAGAUCAAGAUAAAUGAAAUAAGAAAUGUUCACACAUUGGGCUUCAGAAAGCCGUUACCAACUUCUCUCUCUAUAUAUAUAUUUUUUCAUGUCUAGGAAGCCUAACAAACAAACUUCCAAUAGCAUCACUACAUUUGUAAAUCAGACAUGUGCACACUUCUGCUCCAAUACCUAGGUCUAGGAACACAAAAAGUCACCUUCACUGUGUACCUGAAAGCACAAAAAGUUGCCACUGAAAUUGUCUAUCUUCUAAAUAAACAGUUUAUAAAAUCACA